Molecule: long non-coding RNA, 395 nt
Organism: Papilio polytes (common Mormon)
Lineage: Eukaryota; Metazoa; Arthropoda; Insecta; Lepidoptera; Papilionidae
Exons: 3
Source: RefSeq, a predicted model, not a curated record
UAAGGUGUUAUUUUAUCACUUGCAGCGGAGGUAGAAAUAGAAGCUUACCAUCUGGUGGCGUCUUCUCGAUUGGGCGACAGCUCUGUGCUGUUGUUAGACAGUAGAGGCUGCCCUACGGGACAGGUGGAUUUCCCAGCGUUCAGUCGCAGUUGGCGCGGCGGCACACAGCGACUGUCCGCUAACUUCAAGGCGUUCCGUUUCCCCAACUCACAUGUGGUGCGGUUCUCGCUCAUGGUGCGAUUCUGUCAGGACAAAUGUAAACCGGUAAUAUGCAGUUCGCAGCAAAUUAGAACAUCGCGGCAAACCGAUGUUUGGAAGAAUUGGUCUAACGACAGCGGAGUGCCGGCUGCGGUGCGACCUGUCGCGUGGGGCUCGGGGGCGGAGCGCGCGGGCGU